UACGGGGGGGGCAAGCGUUGUUCGGAAUUACUGGGCGUAAAGCGCGCGUAGGCGGCUUUUCAAGUCGGGCGUGAAAGCCCCGGGCUUAACCCGGAAAGGUCAAUCGAUACUGCGGGGCUAGAGUGCAGAAGGGGCAACUGGAAUUCUCGGUGUAGCGGUGAAAUGCGUAGAUAUCGAGAGGAACACCUGCGGCGAAGGCGGGUUGCUGGGCUGACACUGACGCUGAAGCGCGAAAGCUAGGGGAGCGAACGGG
RNAcentral lists this ribosomal RNA (253 nucleotides) under uncultured bacterium. RNAcentral's name for it is "partial 16S ribosomal RNA". It matches the Rfam family "Bacterial small subunit ribosomal RNA", at positions 524 to 776 of the family's 1533-position model. The record is from RNAcentral.